Mobula hypostoma (lesser devil ray) is the source of this 689-nucleotide long non-coding RNA. RefSeq lists it as uncharacterized. Lineage: Eukaryota; Metazoa; Chordata; Chondrichthyes; Myliobatiformes; Myliobatidae. The transcript has 4 exons. The record is from RefSeq and is a predicted model, not a curated record.
GUUUUUCUGCAAGCCAUUCAGCUGGAGAUACAGUACAGCAAGAGAAUGAAGAUCAGGUAAAUUGGUAAUUGAGACACUUUCUACUGCCUUGAAGUUGAAGGUAAAUGGGUAACUGAGACACUUUCUGCAGCCUUGUAGUUGAAGUUUCUACAGAUGUACUGUGGAGAGCAUUCUAACAGGCUGCAUCACCAUCUGGUAUGGAGGCGGGGGCUACUGCACAGGAUCAAAGUAAGCUGCAAGGAGCUGUAAACUUAGUCAGCUUCAACAUGGGACCUAGCUUUCAUACUACCCAGGACAUCUUCCAGUAGCGGUUCCUCAAAAAGGCGACGUCCAUCAUUAAGGGCCCCCAUCAUCUAGGACAUGACUUGUUCUCAUUGCUACCAUCAGGAAGGAGGUAUAGGAGCCUGAAGGCACACACUCAAUGACUCAGGAACAGCAGCUUCUCCAUCUGAAUCCUGAAUGGACAUUGAACCCAUGAACACUAACUCACCACUUUUUCAUUUCUAUUUUUGCACUACUAAUUUAAUUUAAUGACUUAAUAUAGAUAUACUUCCUGUAAUUCAGUUUUUUCUGUUAUUAUGUAUUACAUUAUCGUACUGCUGCAAAGACAACAAAUUUCACAACAUAUGUCAGUGAUACAAACUUGAUUCUGAUUCUGACAUGUUUGCAAAAUAUUUGGAAUGUUCAUA